Molecule: ribosomal RNA, 432 nt
Filed under: uncultured Alphaproteobacteria bacterium
Lineage: Bacteria; Pseudomonadati; Pseudomonadota; Alphaproteobacteria
Description: bacterial SSU rRNA
Rfam family: Bacterial small subunit ribosomal RNA
Source: RNAcentral
AAGUUUGAUCUUGGCUCAGAACGAACGCUGGCGGCAGGCUUAACACAUGCAAGUCGAACGCGUGUAGCAAUACACGAGUGGCGCACGGGUCGAGUAACACGUGGAUAUCUGCCUUUUGGUUCGGGAUAACCCUGGGAAACGUAGGGCUAAUACCGGAUGGUUCCUACGGGAUAAAGAUUUAUCGCCAAAAGAUGAGUCCGCGUCCGAUUAGCUAGUUGGUGGGGUAAUGGCCCACCAAGGCGACGAUCGGUAGCUGGUCUGAGAGGACGAUCAGCCACACUGGGACUGAGACACGGCCCAGACUCCUACGGGAGGCAGCAGUGGGGAAUAUUGGACAAUGGGGGGCAACCCUGAUCCAGCCAUGCCGCGUGAGUGAUGAAGGCCUUCGGUUGUAAAGCUCUUUUGGUCGGGGGACGGAUGAUGACGGUACCC